Molecule: RNA transcript, 216 nt
Organism: Arabidopsis thaliana (thale cress)
Lineage: Eukaryota; Viridiplantae; Streptophyta; Magnoliopsida; Brassicales; Brassicaceae
Exons: 2
Source: RefSeq
UACCACUUUUUACGUGCUCACAAGCAAUCGUGAUUAGAGACAAAGACACAGGAAGGUCCAGAGGUUUUGGAUUAGUCACCUUCUCCAGUGAAUCUGAAGCCUAAUCUUUCAUAACAGAGAUGAAUGAUCAGGUUUAUAUGACUCCAUUUGUGGUAGUUGUUCUGUUUAUAUGAUGAUGGCUUUGGUUUUGAGUUUUCAGAUGAUGGAUGGUCGUAA